GACGAACGCUGGCGGCGUGCUUAACACAUGCAAGUCGAACGGAAAGGCCCUGCUUUUGUGGGGUGCUCGAGUGGCGAACGGGUGAGUAACACGUGAGUAACCUGCCCUUGACUGUGGGAUAACUUCAGGAAACUGGGGCUAAUACCGGAUAGGAGCUCCUGCUGCAUGGUGGGGGUCGGAAAGUUUCGGCGGUUGGGGAUGGACUCGCGGCUUAUCAGCUUGUUGGUGGGGUAGUGGCUUACCAAGGCUUUGACGGGUAGCCGGCCUGAGAGGGUGACCGGCCACCUUGGUACUACGGUACGGCCCAGACUCCUACGGGAGGCAGCAGUGGGGAAUAUUGCACAAUGGGCGGAAGCCUGAUGCAGCAGCGCCGCGUGCGUGAUGACGGCCUUCGGGUUGUAAACCGCUUUCGCCUGUGACGAAGCGUGAGUGACGGUAAUGGGUAAAGAAGCACCGGCUAACUACGUG
This 468-nucleotide ribosomal RNA is filed under the name uncultured bacterium. Its description in RNAcentral is "partial 16S ribosomal RNA". It matches the Rfam family "Bacterial small subunit ribosomal RNA", at positions 28 to 507 of the family's 1533-position model. The record is from RNAcentral.